Molecule: long non-coding RNA, 957 nt
Filed under: Bos indicus x Bos taurus (hybrid cattle)
Lineage: Eukaryota; Metazoa; Chordata; Mammalia; Artiodactyla; Bovidae
Description: lncRNA (ENSBIXG00005012356.1)
Rfam family: tRNA (bases 64-135)
Source: RNAcentral
AUUAACAAUGUUGUGAUAUUUUCAGUAAAGGGACUUGGCCGGACAUAUCCACGUAUUGGAGCUUCCCUGCUGGCAGAGACGGUAAUGAAUCUGCUCGAAAUGCAGGAGACCUGGGUUCCAUCCCUGGGUCGGGAAGAUCCCCUGGAGGAGGGCAUGGCAACCCACUCCAGUAUGCUUGCCUGGAGAAUCCCAGGGUCAGGGGAGCCUGGUGGGCUACAGUCCACGGGGUCGCGGGACGCGGCUGGUUCUUUGAGUUUUCCAAACCAUACAUCAUUGUCAAGCGAGAAGAUUAAACUUAUUGUUUCUUUCUUGAACCCGCAACUCAAGGUAUGUGAGUCCAAGAUAGAUGACUCGGAACCGACACUUCUGCGGGCAGCAGGGCUUGCUGUCAGGGGAGGCGCAGGUCUGCUGAUCAAGGCUGUCUGCACGGAGCUGUGAAGCGGCUUCUGCAAACUCAAGCAUGCACAGACGCCCUGCCUGGCUCUUGGAGUUCGGAUCCCGGUGUCCCUUUGAUCCCCACAUCCUAAAGACUAACAGUCAGAAAGGUGCAUCCUUUGCGCCAAACUUGGGUGGAUUUCAUUUUUCAGCGAGCGCUCGGCUAACUUUCUGAUUUUUUUUUUUGUCCCCACCCUGCAAGUCAUUCUGUGUCUUGGCAGCCAGGAAAAUGUAAAUGAGAUUUUUUUUUUAACAAGGCAGGCCCUCAGAGGUGACCCCUCAUGGAUCUAAGCGGCAGAGUUGCAGGCGUGGCUGGGGAAGAACGCUCCGAGAACGCGGGCCCUUGUGAUUCAUCACCACCCGCCGCCUUUGGCUGGGGGGAGACAGACAAGCCUCUUAAUGAGCGGAGAUCAGUCUGCGCGGGGAGACCUCUGAUAUGUGACACCAGGCACCCACAAACCCGGCCCCGCCCCGCCCGCUCCCCCGAAAAUAGACAAAUAAAUCCGGCGGGCACCCGGCUCA